GAUGAAGAACGCAGCGAAAUGCGACAAGUAAUGUGAAUUGCAGAAUUCAGUGAAUCAUCGAAUCUUUGAACGCACAUUGCGCCCUUUGGUAUUCCAAAGGGCAUGCCUGUUCGAGCGUCAUUUGUACCCUCAAGCUUUGCUUGGUGUUGGGCGUCUUGUCUCUAGCUUUGCUGGAGACUCGCCUUAAAGUAAUUGGCAGCCGGCCUACUGGUUUCGGAGCGCAGCACAAGUCGCACUCUCUAUCAGCAAAGGUCUAGCAUCCAUUAAGCCUUUUUUUCAACUUUUGACCUCGGAUCAGGUAGGGAUACCCGCUGAACUUAAGCAUAUCAAUAAGCGGAGGA
RNAcentral lists this unclassified non-coding RNA (341 nucleotides) under soil metagenome. Its description in RNAcentral is "partial contains 5.8S ribosomal RNA, internal transcribed spacer 2, and large subunit ribosomal RNA". The stretch from base 1 to 120 matches the Rfam family "5.8S ribosomal RNA", at positions 35 to 154 of the family's 154-position model. The record is from RNAcentral.